RNAcentral lists this ribosomal RNA (493 nucleotides) under Pomarea iphis. RNAcentral's name for it is "partial 16S ribosomal RNA". It matches the Rfam family "Bacterial large subunit ribosomal RNA", at positions 1911 to 2568 of the family's 2925-position model. Lineage: Eukaryota; Metazoa; Chordata; Aves; Passeriformes; Monarchidae. The record is from RNAcentral.
GGUGAUCCAGUAUUAAACGGCCGCGGUAUACUAACCGUGCAAAGGUAGCACAAUCAAUUGCCCCAUAAAUCGAGGCUUGUAUGAAUGGCUAAACGAGUCUUAACUGUCUCUUACAGGCGAUCGGUGAAAUUGAUCUCCCUGUGCAAAAGCAGGGAUAACAACAUAAGACGAGAAGACCCUGUGGAACUUCAAAAUCAGCAGCCACCCUAAAACACUUUCAAUCCCACUGGGUUCACGCAUUUAUAGGUUAUUGGCCUGCAUUUUUCGGUUGGGGCGACCUUGGAGAAAAACGAAUCCUCCAAAAAUUGGACCACACCUCCAAACUGAGAGCGACCUCUCAACGUGCUAAAAGCACCCAGACCCAAUAUAAUUGAUCAAUGGACCAAGCUACCCCAGGGAUAACAGCGCAAUCUCCUCCGAGAGUCCGUAUCGACGGGGAGGUUUACGACCUCGAUGUUGGAUCAGGACAUCCUAGUGGUGCAGCCGCUACUAA